Molecule: ribosomal RNA, 909 nt
Filed under: uncultured Bacillota bacterium
Lineage: Bacteria; Bacillati; Bacillota
Description: bacterial SSU rRNA
Rfam family: Bacterial small subunit ribosomal RNA
Source: RNAcentral
UGGAUCCAGACUUUGAUUCUGGCUCAGGAUAAACGCUGGCGGCGCACAUAAGACAUGCAAGUCGAACGGACUUAACUCAUUCUUUUAGUUUGAGAGCGGUUAGUGGCGGACUGGUGAGUAACACGUAAGCAACCUGCCUAUCAGAGGGGAAUAACAGUGAGAAAUCAUUGCUAAUACAGCAUAUGCUAACAGUAUCGCAUGAUACAGUUAGGAAAGGAGCAAUCCGCUGAUAGAUGGGCUUGCGUCUGAUUAGUUAGUUGGUGGGGUAACGGCCUACCAAGACUACGAUCAGUAGCCGGACUGAGAGGUUGAACGGCCACAUUGGGACAGAGAUACGGCCCAGACUCCUACGGGAGGCAGCAGUCGGGAAUAUUGCGCAAUGGAGGAAACUCUGACGCAGUGACGCCGCGUAUAGGAAGAAGGUUUUCGGAUUGUAGACUAUUGUCGUUAGGGAAGAUAAAAGACUGUACCUAAGGAGGAAGCCCCGGCUAACUAUGUGCCAGCAGCCGCGGUAAUACAUAGGGGGCAAGCGUUAUCCGGAAUUAUUGGGUGUAAAGGGUGCGUAGACGGAGAAACAAGUUGGUUGUGAAAUCCCUCGGCUCAACUGAGGAACUGCAACCAAAACUAUUUCCCUUGAGUGUCGGAGAGGAAAGUGGAAUUCCUAGUGUAGCGGUGAAAUGCGUAGAUAUUAGGAGGAACACCAGUGGCGAAGGCGACUUUCUGGACGAUAACUGACGUUGAGGCACGAAAGUGUGGGGAGCAAACAGGAUUAGAUACCCUGGUAGUCCACACUGUAAACGAUGGAUACUAGGUGUAGGGUGUAUUAAGCACUCUGUGCCGCCGCUAACGCAUUAAGUAUCCCACCUGGGGAGUACGACCGCAAGGUUGCAACUCAAAUGAAUUGACGGA